UACGGAGGGGGCUAGCGUUGUUCGGAAUUACUGGGCGUAAAGCGCGCGUAGGCGGAUCUGCAAGUCGGGGGUGAAAUCCCGAGGCUCAACCUCAGAACUGCCUUCGAUACUGCGGGUCUCGAGUCCGGGAGAGGUGAGUGGAAUUCCUAGUGUAGAGGUGAAAUUCGUAGAUAUUAGGAAGAACACCAGUGGCGAAGGCGGCUCACUGGCCCGGUACUGACGCUGAGGCGCGAAAGCGUGGGGAGCAAACAGG
This 253-nucleotide ribosomal RNA is filed under the name uncultured bacterium. RNAcentral describes it as "partial 16S ribosomal RNA". It matches the Rfam family "Bacterial small subunit ribosomal RNA", at positions 524 to 776 of the family's 1533-position model. The record is from RNAcentral.